CAGCCGCCGCGGUAAUACGAGGGGGGCAAGCGUUGUUCGGAAUUAUUGGGCGUAAAGGGUGCGUAGGCGGUUUGAUAAGUCUUGUGUGAAAUCUAUGGGCUCAACCCAUAGUCUGCGUAGGAAACUGUCGGGCUUGAGAGUGGGAGAGGUGAGUGGAAUUUCCGGUGUAGCGGUGAAAUGCGUAGAUAUCGGAAGGAACACCUGUGGCGAAAGCGGCUCACUGGACCAUUUCUGACGCUGAUGCACGAAAGCUAGGGGAGCAAACAGGAUUAGAUACCCCCGUAGUCCCUGUCUCUUAUAC
This 301-nucleotide ribosomal RNA is filed under the name uncultured bacterium. RNAcentral's name for it is "partial 16S ribosomal RNA". It matches the Rfam family "Bacterial small subunit ribosomal RNA", at positions 509 to 807 of the family's 1533-position model. The record is from RNAcentral.